GUACUCCUACGGGACGCAGCAGUGAGGAAUAUUGGUCAAUGGGCUUACGCCUGAACCAGCCAAGUCGCGUGAGGGAAGACUGCCCUAUGGGUUGUAAACCUCUUUUGUCAGGGAGCAACGCCGGCUACGUGUAGCCGGACUGAGAGUACCUGAAGAAAAAGCAUCGGCUAACUCCGUGCCAGCAGCCGCGGUAAUACGGAGGAUGCGAGCGUUAUCCGGAUUUAUUGGGCGUAAAGCGAGCGCAGGCGGUUGCUUAGGUCUG
Molecule: ribosomal RNA, 262 nt
Filed under: uncultured bacterium
Lineage: Bacteria
Description: partial 16S ribosomal RNA
Rfam family: Bacterial small subunit ribosomal RNA
Source: RNAcentral